AGACCCAGACCUGGCAUUUUCAGGUGUUUUCAUUUGGUGAUCAGGACGGAACACAGAGGACGCACCAUGGAGUUUGGGCUGAGCUGGGUUUUUCUUGUUGCUAUUUUAAAAGGUGUCCAGUGUGAGGUGCAGUUGGUGGAGUCUGGGGGAGGCUUGGUACAGCCUGGGGGGUCCCUGAGACUCUUCUGUGCAGCCUCUGGAUUCAUCUUCAGUGACUACUACAUGGACUGGGUCCGCCAGGCUCCAGGGAAGGGCCUGGAAUGGGUCUCACGUAUUAGUAGUGGCAGUGGUGGUAGCACAUAAUACCCAGACUCUGUCAAGGGCCGAUUCACCAUCUCCAGAGACAAUUCCAAGAACACGUUGUAUCUGCAAAUGAACAACCUGAGAGCUGAGGGCACGGCUGUGUAUUACUGUGCG
Non-coding RNA from Piliocolobus tephrosceles (Ugandan red Colobus), 417 nucleotides. The record is from the annotation of a RefSeq genome assembly. NCBI's taxonomy places the organism in Eukaryota, Metazoa, Chordata, Mammalia, Primates, Cercopithecidae.